GGGGCAGUAGCUCAGCUGGGAGAGCGCCUGAUUUGCAUUCAGGAGGUCGGGAGUUCGAUCCUCCUCUGCUCCA
RNAcentral lists this transfer RNA (73 nucleotides) under Omnitrophica WOR_2 bacterium GWF2_43_52. RNAcentral's name for it is "tRNA-Ala". It matches the Rfam family "tRNA". Rfam says of the family: Transfer RNA (tRNA) molecules are approximately 80 nucleotides in length. Their secondary structure includes four short double-helical elements and three loops (D, anti-codon, and T loops). The record is from RNAcentral. Lineage: Bacteria; Pseudomonadati; Candidatus Omnitrophota. RNAcentral also lists the same sequence under 1 other name.